GCCCGUCUAGCUCAGUUGGUUGAGUGUAAGGCUUUUAACCUUAUGGUUGUGGGUUUGAGCCCCAUGGUGGGCG
This is a non-coding RNA of Cucurbita moschata (crookneck pumpkin), 73 nucleotides long. NCBI's taxonomy places the organism in Eukaryota, Viridiplantae, Streptophyta, Magnoliopsida, Cucurbitales, Cucurbitaceae. The record is from the annotation of a RefSeq genome assembly.